CUUAAACUCAGUGUUAUAAACUGCAUGGAAUUUAUGAUGUGUUAUGGAUAUUUGAAAAUAAUGUGGAAAUGCUUGAUUUAAAUCUUAAAGGCGUAAUCCAUAAUUUGAUUCAGCCCAAAUGCCAGUGAGUUUUUUUAGCCAAUCGAAGCAUUGGGGGCGGGUCUAAGACAAGCACAAACACCGUUCCCACUCACAGUGAAGGAGCAAGGAGGUGGCAUGAUGUCGUCAGACAGGGAUAAAAGGGCUGUGUUUGGUAAAGGGAUCGCGUUCGACCCCUGCCAGCUUCGAGACCCUUGGGAGAACAGACCUCAGAAGAUCAGUGAGAAGGGACGACAGGAGAAGGAGGGGCAGGAAAAUAGAGACCUGAAUCGGCUUAUUAAAGAGCGGCACAUUCGACUGAUGGCAUUGGAGAAGAAAGGAAAGGGCAGAAAGAUGGUGUAUUGUCCUCUACUGAAACGGUUUAGGCUUGAUCCUCCACUAGACGCAGCCCCGCCCCCGCCCCCACCCCCACCCACUCCCAAGAAAUCACCACGACGGGUGAAGAUAGAGAUCCCCAAGCCAGUGGAGAAGAAGCCCACCCCACCUAAACCAUCACCUCCUCCUCUGCCCAAAGUCAUUCUCUCUUACAAAGACUUACAAAGACGAUCUGAGGGAAAAUGGUGGAGGGGUAUUAGGGAUAGAGAACUACCGAAUGGUCCAAGUGAAUGGUCAAAGCCCUUUAAGUGUCGACCACUGCAGUUCAGUAGAAUCCUUUACGACCAAACAUUGUCGUGGCAGCGGGGAUGGCCAACGUUCAGCCGGGAAAAAAGCAACAAACUACUGAAAGUUAAACCUUUGGAUGACAAAGUUAACCUUAAAGAGUGGAAGGAUUCUUGGAAGAUGUCCAGGCCUUUACCCAAGCAGCACACAGAAAACAGGGGCAUUACAGAAAAAGUAAAGGCUUUCAGAGAGUGGCAGAAUCGCUUGGCAAUCAGCAGAAAUAGAACAUCUACGGCAGUGGAGAAGAAAGGAAAGAACAGCGACAUGUCUAACUUCAGGUCUAAAGUGGCACCUCCACCAAAUAUACAUAAAUCUGAGCCACCAACUCAUGAGAAGAAACAUGAACCACUCCUUCAGCUGAGGAAGGAGAGCUCUGAGGAAAAUAAGCCCACCGUACCCAAGAGCGCAAAGCCCCCAGCCCCACAACCCAAGGAGAAGAAGCUGCUUGCUAGAAAACCGUCACCUCCUCAGGAUGACACAGUAAAUCUUCCAUGGUGGAAGAAAGUUUGUAGGACGUCCAAGCCUUCACUCAAGCAGCACACAGAGAAUCAGAUGAUUGCAGAAACUGUGAAGACAGGGACGGGCGAUGACAUGUCUGACUCCAGAAAAAUCGUGAUGAGCCUUGACAAUGAUGCUGACAUUGAAGCAGCACAUUUGGAGUCCAGGUUUGGAGACCAGGUUUGGAGGCCAGGUUUGGAGGCCAGGUUUGGAGGCCAGGCCAAGGUGGUACCUCCACCCAUACCACCCACAAAGAAACGUGAACCACCCAAGAAAUCGCAGUUUGAUGCCCCCCAAAUAACUCAGGCUUCAUCGGACAUACUUGAUGUCGAUAAUUGGUCAGAAGCCUGGAAGACUCAACCACUGUUGUUGAACAUUAAAGAACAAGUAUCUCUGGAGGCUUGGGAGCAGGAAUGGCCAGAGUUCACAGAGGAACAAAAUGAUAAACGACUGAAUGCUAAGCCUUUGGAUGACAAUGUAAAUCUUACAGAAUGGGGGGAUGCUUGGAAGACGCCCAAGCCUUUAGCCAAGCAGCACAUUGAGGACUUGACGGUUACAGAGACAGUAAAGCCCAAAGCCUUGACAGGUUGGAGAGAGGCAAGGAGGCUCUCUGGUGACAAUGUUCAAAAUAAUCCUCCAAGCUUGAAGGAUUGGCGUGACUCGUGGAGUUUCUGCCAAGAGCAUCGCUGGUGGAAGGUUUCUAUGGACUCCCAGAUGUCAAAACAACUUUUUUCCCAUCUAAGGAAAAGGGGCGGAGGGCUUUUUUUGUUUUGUUUUUUGUUUUUGUUUCUUUGUUUUCUUGGACACAAUACGGACUGGGGACAAUAGGACUUAAUUACCAUGACAGCCAUGAAGCAAGCAAACAUUACAAACAAAUAAACAACACAUUUAGGUUAAGACAAAAACAAUGACAACCAUGCAUUACUAUCAUUAUAACCUAAUUAACUUAAAGUAACUUUUAAAAGACCAAACUCGAAGAAAACUGUUAACAGUAUGUGAUGGGACAUGUAAGGAAAGGAAAGGGAAGGAAAAGAAGGCUGGUAGAAAGUGAGAUGUUAUGGCAAGGAUUUUGUAAAGUGUAUGUAUGCAGAUGGGAUUAGGCUGUGGGGGAUUGUGGGCUGAGGGCCCUUGGGUAAUAUUUUUGUCAGCAGAUAAACUUUAGAAAAGAUGGUGGAUAAAUGAAGAUAUCUUACGACGUUUACCAUUGAAAAAAAUGGUCACAGUUCCGGUCUACUUAAGGAGUGGCUCUCGGGUCUGGUAUAAUUAGUUAAUUGACUGUACUGUAUAUGAACCAGAAAGAAUUAAGGAGUGAGAUGUUUCGCUUCCUCCUCCGUCUCUGACUGUAGGCAUUUCCUAAUUCCAUCAGGACCCAAACUGACAGAGCUGCACUAGUUGACUUCAAGAAACCCGAAGAAGCUUCCUUUUCAGAUAUGUAGUGUUUGAUAUUAGCGAAUGUGGGACACAUUUUAUUUUUACGUGGGCAAGGAUGUGACAGGGUGUAGCUGAUAUUGUUGAGUUAAUUAACAUAGUCAUGUUACAUGCCUCCUAUUGGUCUGUUCAAACUGAUUCUUUGUGUUUUGUCUUAAUUGAUUGCAGGUGUGACUGCGGAGCAUGCGUCUCCUCCUGUUAUCUUAAAAUGGCUGCAUUUCCUGCCAACCAGGAAGAGGAAAAAAGAGCCGCUGCUACCUCCAAGUCCUUAGACUAGCUCUAGCCUAUGGACUGAACUCCCAAUCACAGUUGAAAAUAAUUAUAUCUAGUCUCUGUGUUUAUUGUGACAUUCUGAGUACAUCUUGUCGGCUCAGUGUCUGUGGGGACUUGGAGACAGUCAGCAAAGGUAAUUCUUGUUUUUUUGUGUGUUUGUGGGCUUGGCUAUACCAUGCAUGUAGCACUUUAAAGUCUUUCAGACAUUUUUGAGAGAGAUGAAUGCAUUUUUUGUUACACUUAAUACAGUUUGCUGUGUGUGCACUAUAGAUGGGUUAGCUGAUAACGUCAUAAACGAUUCACACAUUUCAAUGGUGAGUUGUGAUUCUGGAUGGCCAGAUAGCUUCCAACAAUGACAAACUGCCUGUGGGGAAUCGUAAGUGACUAGUUUCAUGUUCUUUAUGUGUCUUGUUGAGGUGUUUUGACUGGUUUCAUGUCAAUGCUAAUAUGGCAAAUUUGCUAGCUAGCAAACCAACAGUAGCAAUGUAUUUGAGACAAGUGCUCAUUGUGUAAAUGUAUGUUUUCAAUAAACAUUUGACAAAUCAAUUAUAUUUAUUCAAUCUAAGCCAACUGUUUGUUUUGCCCCAUAGCUCUGCAUGUGCUGGUUGCUCAACAACCAACCUGUCUAUAGUUGCUGUGCUUUAAGAUACUUUUACUAGCCUUAAUUGAAUAUUGCAUUUAAACACUGAAGUCUUACAUGAAUGCCUUGUUGUAUUAGACACACAACUGUAACCUUGAAAUAUUGCUUGUAAUAACAUUAAAGAGGCGCUAACUUGCCGAUUCCGCUUGGGAUUUUUCGUUACUCAUUAAGAACAUUUAGAUUUAUGUCUUGGAGUUGUAGUUCAAUGUGGGUGUGUUUUGUUUGUCCCUCUUAAGUCACCGCCCCAAACAGGCCACCAUACCGACUGGCUUAUGAACCGUGAGAUGCAGCAUGCCAACAUGAUCGGUCAGGGAAGCCUCAAGCAUACUGCAUUUCCUGCAUUCUAGAUGUAGCUCUCUUUAAUGAAAAUUGUUUGUGAUGCUAACGUUAGCUCACGAAUGUGAGGAUGUUUGAAAGCCCAUGCCGUUUAAAACCCCCCCCCCAAAAAAACAUGAAUAUUCUUUCAAAAUAACAUUUGUGACAAUAUCUUAAACGGUAUAUAUUGUCUAAACAAGUCCAAGGUGUUGUGUGCUAAUGGUUAGUUUGGCUGCCUGUAAAUAAAUGGGUGGGUUGUAAGUUUAUUCUGGUGAGUGAUUGGAUAGCGUGAACUGGGCAGCUGUUAUCCGGAGGAUUUGAUUACUGCCAGUCGUGAUUAGACUGCCAUGCAGUGAGCCAAUGGGGGCAGGAUUUAAAUCACAACCCAACUCAUGUUAAGUUUUGACAUCCUCAGUUACACAAAUCUUACAAAACUGUUUUGGAAUAUAUUGACAUUAUGACCAAUUAUCCUACUUACAGAUUUUGGUACUGGAAUAAAUGUUUGACUGAAAUCGAUGGCACAGGUCAUUUUCAACCAGAGAAGUGGGUUCUUGUGCUCAGUUGCACUUUAAAUAUUAGUUAAUUCAAUUAAAAAUCAUUUUGUGCUACUGUGUAGUGCGCUUUCCAUGAUUUCAGUACUGUCAAGUGUUUUAUUUUUUCACUGCUCCAUUCUUACAUUUUUUUUGCUUGAGGACCUUCCCUCUAUGCUACCUUUUUAUUUAAAAAAAAAAAAUCAAGUAUUAAAUGGUGUCGUCAGCAGGAGCAGCUAUAUGUAUAAUUUAAAUCCCCCAUGUUACAUAAUCAUACAUUCUAUUUGGAAUUCUCAUUUGUUCCAUGUAAUUUGAAUAUUCUUUUGUUCAUAACUGUCACGUGUGUGUAUAGACGGACCAAGGCGCAGUGUGAGUAGCGUUCCACAUCUUUAAUAUAAAGUGAAACUAUGCAACAUAAUAAACGAAACGUGACGACAAUGAAACUACACAAACACAAUAUCCCAUAACCCACAGGUGGAAAACAUGCUACUUAAGUAUGAUCCCCAAUUAGAGACAACAAUUACCAGCUGCCUCUAAUUGGAAUCAUACAAAUCACCCAAACAGAAAAACUAAACUAGAACCCCACAUAGAAAAUAUAAACUAGAUUAACCCCCCAGUCACGCCCUGACCUACUCUACCAUAGAAAAUAAAAGCUUUCUAUGGUCAGGACGUGACAAUAACGUUUGGAAAAAAACAUAUGGAAGAGACUUUAGACAAGACAACUUAUGCAUGUAUUAAUGUAAAUUGAAAAAUGUAUGCUUUUCCUUGUUUGAAAAAUAUGGCAAAUUUGGCCUCGAAGUUCUGUCGAGGUUGUUCAUGUUCACUGGGAUAUGAAUUCCAAGAAUGUCUACUGGGCCACUUGUCCCAUGAAUGGCACACCACAUGGACUCAAAGUUGGAGUGUUUUAGGGAACCCAGGAUAAGUAGUGAGCACUUGUCAUAGUGAUGGCAUGACAAAACCAUCCAAUCCUGUAAAAAUAGAUCAGAGUCACCGUGGUUUAAAUAGAGCACAGAGCCAUCCAGACCUGACACAGAGACAUAUAAACCAUUUUUAUCCAAGUGACAAGAGACAUUGAUUUUACAAUUUAUAACAUAUAGUGGAUUACAGAAUGAAUGAGUUUACUCUACAAAUAUCAGUAUCAUAGUUAUUUAAGGCCCCUGAACUCAAUGCUUUUGCAAAUUGAAAUACAAUACCGGUUUGUAGCAUGGGAAGAGCUAAGCAUAUUAGGGAAAAUAAAAUAAUGGAGGUGAGGAAAAGUCAGAUUGAGGUUAUUUAAACAAAUACAUUCAAUUUCAAUUCUCCUGAAUUUUGAAAUAUCCUUUUUCUUCAGAAUCAUAGGUUACAUAGAACUCAUGGCAUGGCCAUAUGAUAUUUAACUUUUCUCAUAUUUCAGUGGAACUGUUUGUCUUUGUAAUGAAUCUACAGUAUAAACCACAACCUGGGAUUGGAUUCAUCCCACGAUUGAAGCUUCUUCAGUUUCUCAGCCAAUUAUAGCACAGGGGGUGAGUCAGUUUGGCAAGUCACACAGACAAGAAACAGUGCGCUGUACACACAGUAAAGGAGCAAGGGAGGAAGAUUCUAUAUAUUUAUCGUUCUUUAUCCAGACCAGUGACAUUGGGAAAGGAAUCUAUUUUUUUCACGGGAGCCCUGGCCAAGAAGAGGUGGCAUGAUGUCGUCAGACAGGGAUAAAGGGACAGUGUACGACAGCUUCCAGCUCAUGAACCAAUGGGAGAACAGAGCUAAGCAGUUCAGUCAGAAGGGACAACUGGAAAAGGAGAGACAAGGAAAGAGUGCCUUGAAUGGGCUUUACAAAAAGUGGCAGUCUUGCUUGGCGAACAAAAAUGGAACCCCUACGGCAGCGGAGAAGAAAGGAAAGGGCAGCGACAUAUCUGACUUCAGAAAGGUUGCGGUGAUCCCAGACAUUGAUGCUGACAUCAAAGGAGCCAUGUUUAAGGUGGUACCACCACCAAAGAUUCCCAAACCUGCUCCAUCCCCACCACCACCACCCAAAAAGAAACCACCCAAGAGGGCAAAGCCCCAAGUUCUCAAACCAGCCGGGGGCUGGGAUGAGUCAUGGAAAAGCCUGAAGCCCCCAGAGCAGGAAGUCCAACCUGAGGAAAAAUGGUGGAGGGAUUUUAAGCCAGAUAGAUACCUACCUCUCAGCGAAUGGGCAAGGCCCUUCAAGUGUCGACCACUGUUAUUCAGUUUCAUCCUUCACCAGCAAACAGAGUGGUGGCAGCGAGGAUGGCCAGUGUUCAGCCGGGAACAAAGCAACAAACUAUUGAAAGCUAAGACUUUGGAUGUCGAAGUAUACCUUCCAGGGUGGGAGGACGCUUGGAAGACAUCCAGAUCUUUAUCCAAGCAAUACAUUGAGAACAAGAUGAUUACAGAAACAGUACAGCCCAAAGCCUUCUUCCCAGGCUGGACAGAAUCUUGGAAGGUCGCAGGUGAAAAUGUCCAAAACAGUGGCCGAUAUCUUAGGGAUUGGCACGAGUCCUGGAGUUUGUGCCAAGAACACCACUGGUGCAAGGCCCCCAUAGACUCCCAGUUGAUGUCAAAACAUGUGUUCUCCGAUGAGUUGUUGAUCUCCCAGCUUGAUGAGGAGAUCCCAUCUUCAUCAGAUUGGAUAGAGUCCUGGAAAUCUGUGAAAUCUCAGCCCCAGUCCCAGUCCCAAGAGUCCCAGUCAGAGCCCAAAGGGACUGAAUUAGAGGUAGAAAUGUCCCAUGUGCCACUGCAUCUCCAGUUCCACAAGCUUAACACACCUUUCUCAAACUGGCACGAGUCUUGGAAAGUGUCAACUGCAAAUAACGAAGCAAUUGAAGAUGGAUGGAAAGGUUCCUGGAAAAUAUAUAGUCAGAAUCAAAAUCAAAAUAACACAAAAGCCCAAAGAGAUGUUGUGUUUUUCUCAAAUAAGUACAAGACCCAAAGGUUGCGGGGUGUCGACAGCAUGCCUCAGAGUGAAUGGUCUAAAUCCUGGAAGACCCCCAUGCCUCCCCAACAUACUUUCUUGCCAGGUUGGAAAGAAUCUUGGAAACAAAACAGCAAUCCAUAUUGGAAGGAUUGGCAUGAGUCCUGGAGUUUAUGCCAAGAACACCACUUUUGCAAGUCCUUUAUGAACUCCCAGUACUGCCAUCAUGCCAUGAUGAUGUCAAAAUGCUUGCUGACUAAUGAGCUGUUGAGCUCCCAGCUUGAUGAGGAGAUCCCAUCUUCAUAUGAGUGGAUAGAGUCCUGGAAAUCUGUGAAACCUUAUCCUCAGUCCCAAUCAGAUUCAGAAGAAACUGAAUCAGAGUUGGAUAUGUCCCAUGUGCCACUGCAUCUUCAGUUCUACAAGCUUAACACACCUUUCUCAAACUGGCAUGAGUCUUGGAAAGUGUCAACUGCGCAAGCUGUAGCAGGUAAAGACGAACAAGAACAUCCUUCAACAGAAUGGACUGAUUCCUGGAAGAUAUCUUGGAUGAAUCUAAAUAAAAAUGACUUAAAACCCCAAAAGGAUGUUGUAUUUUUCUCAAGGCAUAAGACUGAAUGUUUCUUGAGUGUUGACUGUAUGGUCCAGAAUGAAUGGUCUGAAUGCUGGAAGACCAUCAAGCCUACCCAAUACACUGAGACACAGGAGGAGGAGGAGGAAAAAGAUAGCCAUUCUGAUUCCUCAAAAAAUGUGUCACAUCUAAUAGAGAUUCCUUUGAAUGAUUGGGCAGAAUCAUGGAGGUUCAAGCCAGAGGACGAGAGCCCCACCUCACCCAAGACGGCACAGCCCCUAGCCCCAAAACCAGAGGAGGAGAUGCUGAAAGCCAGCACACCAUCACCUCCUCAGCCUUACAAAUACAAUCUUAACCAGGCAAGCUGGGGUGAUUCCUGGAAAAUCCUGAAGCCCCCACAGAAGGAAGUCCCAUCUGAGAAAAAAUGGUGGAGGGCGUUUAAGCAGGACAGAAAUCUACCUUUCAAUGAAUGGGCAAAGCCCUUCAAGUGUCGACCACUGCUAUUCAGUCGCUUACUGCACACACAAACAACAUCCUGGCAGCAGGGAUGGCCAGCGUUCAGCCGGGAACAAAGCAACAAACUACUGAAUGCUAAGCCUUUGGAUAACAAAGUAAACCUUCUGGAGUGGGAGGAUGCUUGGAAGACACUCAAGCGUUUACACAAGCAGCAUGCUGAGAACAAGAUGAUUACAGAAAGAGUACAGCCCGAUGGCUUCUUGCCAGGUUGGAUAGAAUCUUGGAAGGUCGCAGGUAACAAUGUCCAAAACAACAAUCCAUAUCUGAAGGAUUGGCGUGAGUCCUGGAGUUUUUGUCAUGAACAUCACUCAUACAGGGCCUCUAUAGACUCCCAGAAUCGGCAGUAUCUCCCAGUAUCACUAAAACACAAGCUGUCCAAUGAUCUGUUGAUCUCCCAGCUUGAUGAAAACAUUACGUCCUCACCAGAAGGGUGAGGACGUGCUGAAGACAACAUGCUGAAGACAACAUGCCUCAGAAUGAAUGGUCUGAAUGUUGGAAGACACAGCAGCAGCACCAGCAGCAGUUGGAGGACUGGGCAGAGUCUUGGAGGUUAUCUGUCGCCCCAGAAUCCAACAACUCAGUAUCACUAGACCGGUGGAAACAAUCAUGGAGACUCUCAAACCCAAAUCACCCACAUCAGCUUAACCAGGGCACAGAGCCUCUCAUACACAACGGCCCCAAACACCACAUGCAACUCCACGCGGUUGAACUGCCCCAGGCAGAAUGGAGCAACUCCUGGCAGUACCUCAAGUCAGACACUGGAUCCUAAUACGAAGAAGAAAACAGACAUACAGUAGAACAUUAUAACAUGUACGUCAAAUGAUCAGAUGUGUAUUUGAUCCUAUACUAUUUAUACUUAAUGUCAAUAUACAUACUUGUUAAAUGUCUUAUUACUGGACACAUUGGAGUGUGACGAGCAGAAUUCUCUGCUGCAGAGAGGAGGUUGGGGUGAAUGAAGUGUAUAAUGCGUGGUUUGCAUAGCUGUUGGAAACUUUAAACCUAACCUAAUCUCAACCUAAUCUAAUCUAUUCUAUUGAUUGAAAUGUUGUUGUUUUCUAUCGGCUGUUGUUGCUACUUCUAUUGUUGCUGGUUGUCUUUGUGACUAAAUUAAUGCUUGAUUGACGAACACUUUAUCCAUCUUGGAUUAAUAAAUAUAUUUAAUUAUCAUAUUAAUUGCUAAAGUAUCGUCAAUGUUGAAGGUUUCUCUCAAAUUGCCAGAGCAUUCACCAGGACUGAACUGGGAUCUUAUAACGAUGUGCGGUGAGAGUCGGGAAGCAAGUUCAGGGAGGUUCAGAGACACGUUCCCAGCAGGCAAGCAGAGAGGCCACACUGUGAGACUGAAGGAUGUAUCCAUGGCACUGAGGAUGUAUCCACGGCUCUGAGGAUGUAUCCACGGCUCUGAGGAUGUGUCCACGGCUCUGAGGAUGUGUCCACGGCUCUGAGGAUGUAUCCACGGCUCUGAGGAUGUAUCCACGGCUCUGAGGAUGUGUCCACGGCUCUGAGGAUGUGUCCACGGCUCUGAGGAUGUAUCCACGGCUCUGAGGAUGUAUCCACGGCUCUGAGGAUGUAUCCACGGGUCUGAGGAUGUAUCCACAGCACUGAGGAUGUAUCCACGGCUCUGAGGAUGUAUCCACGGCUCUGAGGAAGUAUCCACGGCUCUGAGGAUGUAUCCACGGCACUGAGGAUGUAUCCACGGCUCUGAGGAUGUAUCCACCACUCUGAGGACAUAUCCACGGCUCUGAGGACAUAUCCACCACUCCGAGGACAUAGCCGCGGCUCUAAGGAUGUAUCUCUAGCUCUGAGGACAUAUCCAUGUCUCUGAGGACGUAUCCACCACUCCGAGGACAUAUCCACGGCUCUGAGGAUGAAGCCAUGGCUCUGAGGACGUAGCCGCGGCUCUGAGGAUGUAUCUCUAGCUCUGAGGACAUAUCCAUGUCUCUGAGGACGUAUCCACCACUCCGAGGACAUAGCCACGGCUCUGAGGAUGUAUCUCUAGCUCUGAAGACAUAUCCACGGCUCUGAGGACGUAUCUCCAGCUCUGAGGCCGUAUCCACGUCUCUGAGGACGUAUCUCCAGCUCUGAGGACGUAUCCACGGCUCUGAGGACGUAUCUCCAGCUCUGAGGACGUAUCCACGGCUCUGAGGACGUAUCCACGGCUCUGAGGACGUGUCCACGGCUCUGAGGACGUAUCCACGGCUCUGAGGACGUAUCCACGGCUCCAUGCUACUUUGGUGCCACUUAUGCCUGUGUGUAUUUGCUGUUUGCUGUAGCAUGCUCUACAUUACCUUUUAAUGGUGCAGUCAUUCCACUCAUUUGUUUGUGAAUGUUAUUGUCUUUCAAUAAAUUAGUUAAGGAC
This 10791-nucleotide long non-coding RNA is filed under the name Salmo salar (Atlantic salmon). RNAcentral's name for it is "lncRNA (ENSSSAG00000083761.1)". The record is from RNAcentral. Lineage: Eukaryota; Metazoa; Chordata; Actinopteri; Salmoniformes; Salmonidae.